Molecule: non-coding RNA, 292 nt
Organism: Cinara cedri
Lineage: Eukaryota; Metazoa; Arthropoda; Insecta; Hemiptera; Aphididae
Source: the annotation of a GenBank genome assembly
AUACCUAAUAAAAUACAUAUUUUAAGAACCAUAAGUAUACCUACUUGAUUUUGGUAAUGUGAUUGUCACAUGCUCCAAUGAUCCUCUUCCUAAUUUUUUCCUCGAUCAAUCAAAACAUUUUUCCAAGGGGGUGGGAGAUGAAAAAACACAAAUCGUCUUUAUAUCGACCUAAUACUGUCUUAGUAAAAUUACUCACAGGAAGUUAGGGUGGAGGUACUCACAGUAUGAAAUCGGAAGUUUACGGGAAGAAAAUGCACGACUUUCAUCAGUUUCACGUGUAACCAUCUGUUGC